CGCGCUAAGCGCCGCCGUUGCGCGCCUGCAGCCGGCCGCUGCGGUCGGCGUUCAUGCAGGUGUCGAAGCCGUGGUGCGUGACCGCGCCGGCGCGG
This 95-nucleotide transfer RNA is filed under the name Burkholderia multivorans. Its description in RNAcentral is "tRNA-Ala". The record is from RNAcentral. Lineage: Bacteria; Pseudomonadati; Pseudomonadota; Betaproteobacteria; Burkholderiales; Burkholderiaceae.